This 402-nucleotide ribosomal RNA is filed under the name uncultured bacterium. RNAcentral describes it as "bacterial SSU rRNA". It matches the Rfam family "Bacterial small subunit ribosomal RNA", at positions 917 to 1322 of the family's 1533-position model. The record is from RNAcentral.
GGGCCCGCACAAGCGGCGGAGCAUGCGGAUUAAUUCGAUGCAACGCGAAGAACCUUACCAAGGCUUGACAUAUAGAGGAAAAGUGCAGAAAUGCACUCCCCGCAAGGUCUCUAUACAGGUGGUGCAUGGUUGUCGUCAGCUCGUGUCGUGAGAUGUUGGGUUAAGUCCCGCAACGAGCGCAACCCUCGUCCUAUGUUGCCAGCAAGUAAUGUUGGGGACUCAUAGGAGACUGCCGGGGUCAACUCGGAGGAAGGUGGGGAUGACGUCAAAUCAUCAUGCCCCUUAUGUCUUGGGCUUCACGCAUGCUACAAUGGCCGGUACAGAGGGCUGCAAUACCGCAAGGUGGAGCGAAUCCCCAAAAGCUGUCUCAGUUCGGAUUGUCGGCUGCAACUCGCCGGCAUG